AAUCCCGGCUCGGGGAGGUAGUGACAAAAAAUAACAAUGCGGGACUCUUAUGAGGCUUCGUAAUUGGAAUGAGUACAUUCUAAAUCCUUUAACGAGGAACUAUUGGAGGGCAAGUCUGGUGCCAGCAGCCGCGGUAAUUCCAGCUCCAAUAGCGUAUAUUAAAGUUGUUGCGUCUAAAAAGCUCGUAGUUUGAAAACUUGCCUUGGCUUACAACAGACGUCUAAGGGCGUCACCGUUUGUCGAGAGCAAAUAUGGGUGACUGUUCUUGCCUUCUUCACUGAUUGGCUCGUAAAAGUCAUCGAAGAUCACUUUGAUUAAAUUAGGGUGCUCAAAGCAAGUGUGCUACUUGAAUAUGAAUGCAUGGAAUGAUGGAAUAUGUUGUUGUUCUAUUUGUUGGUUUUUGAAUGACGAAAUGAUUGAAAGGAACUGUUGGGGGCAUUCGUAUUGUUGUGAGAGAGGUGAAAUUCUUAGACCAUAGCAAGACGAACUACUGCGAAAGCAUUUGCCAAGAAUGUUUUCAUUGAUCAAGAACGAAAGUUAGAGGUUCGAAGGCGAUCAGAUACCGCCCUAGUUCUAACCAUAAACUAUGCCGACUAGCAAUUUGCUUUGUAUUUUUAUGACUAAGUGAGAGGCCACGGGAAACCAAAGUAGGGUUAUGGGGGAAGUAUGGUUGCAAAGCUGAAACUUAAAGGAAUUGACGGAAGGGCACCACCAGGAGUGGAGCCUGCGGCUUAAUUUGACAACACGGGAAAACUUACCUGGUCCUGACACUAGAAGGAUUGACAGAUUGAUAGCUCUUUCUUGAUUUGGUGGAUGGUGGUGCAUGGCCGUUCUUAGUUGGUGGAGUGAUUUGUCUGGUUAAUUCCGAUAACGAACGAGACUCUAGCCUAUUAAAUAAUAUGCGGAAUCAAUUUCUCCCGCGUUAUUUCUUAAUGGGAUCAAGCGUGUUUAACGCUUUGAAACAGAGCAAUAACAGGUCUGUGAUGCCCUUAGAUGUUCGGGGCUGCACGCGCGCUACAUUGAAGAACAAAGUGAGCCCUCUGGCUUUUAACAAAGCUAGAAAUCUUUUAAUGUUCUUCUUAAUGGGGAUAGGGGAUAGCAAUUGUGCCCCUUGAACGAGGAAUUCCCAGUAAGUGCUAGUCAUUAGCUAGUACUGAUUACGUCCCUGCCCUUUGUACACACCGCCCGUCGCUACUACCGAUUGAAUAGUUUAGUGAGAUCAUCUGAGUGUUUGUAUGUGCAUUCUGUGCUUGUAUGGUGUACGAAGAAGAUCAAACUUGAUUAUUUAGAGGAAGUAAAAGUC
Molecule: ribosomal RNA, 1303 nt
Filed under: metagenome
Description: SSU rRNA
Rfam family: Eukaryotic small subunit ribosomal RNA
Source: RNAcentral